UGGGGAAUAUUGCACAAUGGGCGAAAGCCUGAUGCAGCAACGCCGCGUGAGUGAUGAAGGCCUUCGGGUUGUAAAGCUCUGUCUUUUGGGACGAUAAUGACGGUACCAAAGGAGGAAGCCACGGCUAACUACGUGCCAGCAGCCGCGGUAAUACGUAGGUGGCAAGCGUUGUCCGGAUUUACUGGGCGUAAAGGAUGCGUAGGCGGAUUUUUAAGUGAGAUGUGAAAACCCUAAGCUUAACUUGGGGACUGCAUUUCAUACUGGAAAUCUAGAGUGCGGGAGAGGAGAAUGGAAUUCCUAGUGUAGCGGUGAAAUGCGUAGAGAUUAGGAAGAACACCAGUGGCGAAGGCGAUUCUCUGGACCGUAACUGACGCUGAGGCAUGAAAGCGUGGGUAGCAAACAGGAUUAGAUACCCUGGUAGUCCACGCCGUAAACGAUGAGUACUAGGUGUAGGAGGUAUCGACCCCUUCUGUGCCGCAGUUAACACAAUAAGUACUCCGCCUGGGAAGUACGAUCGCAAGAUUAAAAGCUCAAAUGAAUUGACGGGGUCAUAGCU
This 556-nucleotide ribosomal RNA is filed under the name uncultured bacterium. RNAcentral describes it as "partial 16S ribosomal RNA". It matches the Rfam family "Bacterial small subunit ribosomal RNA", at positions 355 to 926 of the family's 1533-position model. The record is from RNAcentral.